UACAGAGCCCCAAGCGUUAGGCGGAAUCACUGGGCUUAAAGCGUGUGUAGGCGGGAUGGUAAGUACUUUGUGAAAUCCCACGGCUUAACUGUGGAACUGCUUAGUAUACUGCCGUUCUUGAGUCAUUUAGGGGCAGCCGGAACAGAUGGUGGAGCGGUGAAAUGCGUAGAUAUCGGGAGGAACACCAACGGCGAAAGCACUCUGCUGGGCCGACACUGACACUGAGAGACGAAAGCUAGGGGAGCGAAUGGG
Molecule: ribosomal RNA, 252 nt
Filed under: uncultured bacterium
Lineage: Bacteria
Description: partial 16S ribosomal RNA
Rfam family: Bacterial small subunit ribosomal RNA
Source: RNAcentral